AGACGAGAGUUGUUAUCUACGUAAUGGCAGUUCGCCAACAGCGACGACAGUCGCUAACAGUUUAGCAGUUUGCUUGCAGUUCCAGCAUUUCUAUGUUGAGUUGGGAACUCUUUAGAUAAUCCUUAAGGAAUUAUCCCACACAGUUGUUGAAUUUUUUCUCUUCACUUUCCAAUGAUGGUCCACGACAGUGUCACAAUAAAGGAACCAACAUGAGUUAAA
Long non-coding RNA from Strongylocentrotus purpuratus (purple sea urchin), 219 nucleotides. RefSeq lists it as uncharacterized. The record is from RefSeq and is a predicted model, not a curated record. Lineage: Eukaryota; Metazoa; Echinodermata; Echinoidea; Camarodonta; Strongylocentrotidae. The transcript has 2 exons.